RNAcentral lists this ribosomal RNA (1243 nucleotides) under Escherichia coli. Its description in RNAcentral is "partial 23S ribosomal RNA". It matches the Rfam family "Bacterial large subunit ribosomal RNA", at positions 318 to 1569 of the family's 2925-position model. The record is from RNAcentral. Lineage: Bacteria; Pseudomonadati; Pseudomonadota; Gammaproteobacteria; Enterobacterales; Enterobacteriaceae.
CAGUGUGUGUGUUAGUGGAAGCGUCUGGAAAGGCGUGCGAUACAGGGUGACAGCCCCGUACACAAAAAUGCACAUAUUGUGAGCUCGAUGAGUAGGGCGGGACACGUGGUAUCCUGUCUGAAUAUGGGGGGACCAUCCUCCAAGGCUAAAUACUCCUGACUGACCGAUAGUGAACCAGUACCGUGAGGGAAAGGCGAAAAGAACCCCGGCGAGGGGAGUGAAAAAGAACCUGAAACCGUGUACGUACAAGCAGUGGGAGCCUCUUAAUGGGGUGACUGCGUACCUUUUGUAUAAUGGGUCAGCGACUUAUAUUCUGUAGCAAGGUUAACCGAAUAGGGGAGCCGAAGGGAAACCGAGUCUUAACUGGGCGUUAAGUUGCAGGGUAUAGACCCGAAACCCGGUGAUCUAGCCAUGGGCAGGUUGAAGGUUGGGUAACACUAACUGGAGGACCGAACCGACUAAUGUUGAAAAAUUAGCGGAUGACUUGUGGCUGGGGGUGAAAGGCCAAUCAAACCGGGAGAUAGCUGGUUCUCCCCGAAAGCUAUUUAGGUAGCGCCUCGUGAAUUCAUCUCCGGGGGUAGAGCACUGUUUCGGCAAGGGGGUCAUCCCGACUUACCAACCCGAUGCAAACUGCGAAUACCGGAGAAUGUUAUCACGGGAGACACACGGCGGGUGCUAACGUCCGUCGUGAAGAGGGAAACAACCCAGACCGCCAGCUAAGGUCCCAAAGUCAUGGUUAAGUGGGAAACGAUGUGGGAAGGCCCAGACAGCCAGGAUGUUGGCUUAGAAGCAGCCAUCAUUUAAAGAAAGCGUAAUAGCUCACUGGUCGAGUCGGCCUGCGCGGAAGAUGUAACGGGGCUAAACCAUGCACCGAAGCUGCGGCAGCGACACUAUGUGUUGUUGGGUAGGGGAGCGUUCUGUAAGCCUGUGAAGGUGGCCUGUGAGGGUUGCUGGAGGUAUCAGAAGUGCGAAUGCUGACAUAAGUAACGAUAAAGCGGGUGAAAAGCCCGCUCGCCGGAAGACCAAGGGUUCCUGUCCAACGUUAAUCGGGGCAGGGUGAGUCGACCCCUAAGGCGAGGCCGAAAGGCGUAGUCGAUGGGAAACAGGUUAAUAUUCCUGUACUUGGUGUUACUGCGAAGGGGGGACGGAGAAGGCUAUGUUGGCCGGGCGACGGUUGUCCCGGUUUAAGCGUGUAGGCUGGUUUUCCAGGCAAAUCCGGAAAACCAAGGCUGAGGCGUGAUGA